This is a long non-coding RNA of Phascolarctos cinereus (koala), 370 nucleotides long. RefSeq lists it as uncharacterized. The record is from RefSeq and is a predicted model, not a curated record. NCBI's taxonomy places the organism in Eukaryota, Metazoa, Chordata, Mammalia, Diprotodontia, Phascolarctidae.
ACUACCCUCUACUGGAUGAGACUUUACAUAUCUGAGAUAACUCAAUUCAUUCAAGUUUUGACUCCUGAUGAGUUUUUCCUGAUGUGGGAAAAAAUGACGAAUGACCCAAUUGAGAUGACCACUUCAUCAGUCCUAUUACGUCAGGUUUGGAAUCAACAGCGCACGAAAUCAAGAAGGGGUUCAUGCUAAGUCAUUAGUCUUUCCAACACUUACUUGGCACACACAUGCACUGGUUAAUUUAGGAUUUAUCCUCUGCCUGCUUCCUAAAAGGAUUUGAGUGUUAGCUAUAAUGGAAAAUGCAGACAGAUUACUGAUGUUAUCCCCGGAACUACCGAAAUUCAGCUCAAAGCAAUAUCACUCUGAAUCAGUA